CACGGUAAGAGAGGAGCUCAUGGGAUAUCAGCUUGUUGGUGUGGUAAAAGCGCACCAAGGCUAAGACGUCUAGGCGGACUGAGAGGUUGACCGCCAACACUGGGACUGAGACACUGCCCAGACACCUACGGGUGGCUGCAGUCGAGAAUCUUCGGCAAUGGGCGAAAGCCUGACCGAGCAAUGCCGCGUGCGGGAUGAAGGCCCUCGGGUUGUAAACCGCGAAAGUGAGGAGGAAGGGCCCGUGAAGAGCGGGUCUUGACCGAUCCACAGUAAGGACGGGCUAAGUUCGUGCCAGCAGCCGCGGUAACACGAACCGUCCAAACGUUAUUCGGAAUCAUUGGGCUUAAAGGGUGCGUAGGCGGCUUUGCAAGUCAGGUGUGAAAUCCUACAGCUCAACUGUAGAACUGCGCUUGAAACUGCAAGGCUUGAGUAUGACAGGGGUGUGUGGAACUUCCAGUGGAGCGGUGAAAUGUGUUGAUAUUGGAAGGAACACCGGUGGCGAAAGCGACACACUGGGUCAUAACUGACGCUGAGGCACGAAAG
This 543-nucleotide ribosomal RNA is filed under the name Symbiodinium sp. clade D. Its description in RNAcentral is "partial Bacterial small subunit ribosomal RNA". It matches the Rfam family "Bacterial small subunit ribosomal RNA", at positions 214 to 759 of the family's 1533-position model. The record is from RNAcentral. Lineage: Eukaryota; Dinophyceae; Suessiales; Symbiodiniaceae.